RNAcentral lists this ribosomal RNA (468 nucleotides) under uncultured bacterium. Its description in RNAcentral is "partial 16S ribosomal RNA". It matches the Rfam family "Bacterial small subunit ribosomal RNA", at positions 28 to 507 of the family's 1533-position model. The record is from RNAcentral.
GACGAACGCUGGCGGCGUGCUUAACACAUGCAAGUCGAACGGAAAGGCCCUGCUCUUGUGGCGUGCUCGAGUGGCGAACGGGUGAGUAACACGUGAGUAACCUGCCCCUGACUUUGGGAUAACACCUCGAAACUGGGGCUCAUAUCGGAUAUGAGAUCCUGCUGCACGGUGGGCGAUGGAAAGAUUCGGCGGUUGUGGAUGGACUGGCGGCUUAUCCGCUUGUUGGUGGGGUAGUGGCUUACCAAGGCUUUGACGGGUAGCCGGCCUGAGAGGUGGACCGGCCACAUGGGGACUGAGAUACGGCCCAGACUCCAACGUUAGGCAGCAGUGGGGAAUAUUGCACAAUGGGCGGAAGCCUGAUGCAGCGACGCCGCGUGCGGGAUGACGGCCUUCGGGUUGUAAACCGCUUUCGCCUGUGACGAAGCGUGAGUGACGGUAAUGGGUAAGAAAGCACCGGCUAACUACGUG